GAUCGCGUGGCCGAGUGGUCCAAGGCGCUGUGUUAAGGCCGCAGUCCGAAAGGGCGCAGGUUCGAAUCCUGCCGCGAUCA
This is a transfer RNA of Chlorella variabilis, 80 nucleotides long. It matches the Rfam family "tRNA". From Rfam's summary of the family: Transfer RNA (tRNA) molecules are approximately 80 nucleotides in length. NCBI's taxonomy places the organism in Eukaryota, Viridiplantae, Chlorophyta, Trebouxiophyceae, Chlorellales, Chlorellaceae. The record is from Rfam.